AGAGUUUGAUCCUGGCUCAGGAUGAACGCUGGCGGCGUGCUUAACCCAUGCAAGUCGAACGGACUUUUGAUGAAGCCUAGCGAUUCAAAAAGUUAGUGGCGGACGGGUGAGUAACGCGUGGGUAACCUGCCUUAUACAGGGGGAUAACACUUAGAAAUAGGUGCUAAUACCGCAUAAGCGCACAGUAUCGCAUGAUACAGUGUGAAAAACUCCGGUGGUAUAAGAUGGACCCGCGUCUGAUUAGCUAGUUGGUGAGGUAACGGCUCACCAAGGCGACGAUCAGUAGCCGGCCUGAGAGGGUGAACGGCCACAUUGGGACUGAGACACGGCCCAAACUCCUACGGGAGGCAGCAGUGGGGAAUAUUGCACAAUGGGGGAAACCCUGAUGCAGCGACGCCGCGUGAGUGAAGAAGUAUUUCGGUAUGUAAAGCUCUAUCAGCAAGGAAGAAAAUGACGGUACUUGACUAAGAAGCCCCGGCUAACUACGUGCCAGCAGCCGCGGU
RNAcentral lists this ribosomal RNA (503 nucleotides) under uncultured bacterium. RNAcentral describes it as "bacterial SSU rRNA". It matches the Rfam family "Bacterial small subunit ribosomal RNA", at positions 8 to 521 of the family's 1533-position model. The record is from RNAcentral.